CUUGAUUCCAAAUCUGGGUGACCAGGUACCAAGGAAGGAAAGAAGGAUAUAACUAGGAGUAAAUUGGAAAGAGGUAACUAUCACAUGGAUCCAUUUUCUCAAACACAUGGCUGGGCUGGGGACUUCUGGUUUUAUGCAGAAGCAAAUGAAGAUGUCAGAUCAAGGUGGCACAGAGGUGAAGGUCAGUCCAGGAGGGACCAAAUCCAAUUAAUUAAGGCUUCUCAAAUGCUUAAUGUAACAUGUAACUGGCUGACAAAGCUCCCUGUAUAUUCAUUAUGGAAAUGAAGUGCUUUAAGAGACCUCUGGGGGUGAAUUCUGGCUGUAUCCACAACAGGAGCCCAGGAAGAACUCUCAGUUCUCACGUCCAGAUGCAUAGCUCAGCCACCACCUUUCCUUUUUGCAGGAAGGAAAUACAGAUGAAGGGAGCUGAGUUCAGCUGUUCACAAAGAUUAAACCCUGGAGUUCAGUCUUGCACCUGAACAGGCAAAGAACACCUCUCCAUGCAAUCCUACCAUUAUACCAAGACAUCUUCAUCUGAAUAUUUUAAUGCACUUUCUUGGCAGAAAACAUCUUCAUAAAUAGAUGAUUUCUUGUAUC
Molecule: long non-coding RNA, 597 nt
Filed under: Coturnix japonica (Japanese quail)
Lineage: Eukaryota; Metazoa; Chordata; Aves; Galliformes; Phasianidae
Description: lncRNA (ENSCJPG00005005274.1)
Source: RNAcentral